RNAcentral lists this unclassified non-coding RNA (341 nucleotides) under Hevea brasiliensis (rubber tree). Lineage: Eukaryota; Viridiplantae; Streptophyta; Magnoliopsida; Malpighiales; Euphorbiaceae. The record is from RNAcentral.
GCAGCUGAAGGGUUCUUUGUACCUAUGCAAAGGACAUGGAAAUGUCAAUUGUUAAAUGCCAAAGAGGGCGACAACUACUGUGAAACUUUCAAUAGUUAAAAUUGAUGUGUAGACUGUGAAAUGGUUGUGCAUUUAUAUUCUCAACAAGAAAAAAUAUUGAAUGUCAGCGUGUGUGAGAGAGAAAAAGCAAAAUAAAACCAACCAUUAAACUAACGAAGGAUGAAAGAACUCCCAGCUGAGUAAUCUAAAAGAAAACUAAAGCUUGCUUUGCAAAAAUUUGUCGAGCAAGUCUUAUUAGUUAAUGUAAGAGCAUGGCAUACCUCAAGCUGCUCAUGCAGCUG